RNAcentral lists this ribosomal RNA (253 nucleotides) under uncultured bacterium. Its description in RNAcentral is "partial 16S ribosomal RNA". It matches the Rfam family "Bacterial small subunit ribosomal RNA", at positions 524 to 776 of the family's 1533-position model. The record is from RNAcentral.
UACGGAGGGUGCAAGCGUUAUCCGGAUUCACUGGGUUUAAAGGGUGCGUAGGCGGGCAGGUAAGUCAGUGGUGAAAUCUCCGAGCUUAACUCGGAAACUGCCGUUGAUACUAUUUGUCUUGAAUAUUGUGGAGGUAAGCGGAAUAUGUCAUGUAGCGGUGAAAUGCUUAGAUAUGACAUAGAACACCAAUUGCGAAGGCAGCUCACUACACAAAGAUUGACACUGAGGCACGAAAGCGUGGGGAUCAAACAGG